Molecule: long non-coding RNA, 248 nt
Filed under: Dasypus novemcinctus (nine-banded armadillo)
Lineage: Eukaryota; Metazoa; Chordata; Mammalia; Cingulata; Dasypodidae
Description: lncRNA (ENSDNOG00000049824.1)
Source: RNAcentral
GUUCGGUCAGGAUUUCCAAACAAAAACGUUUUAUUGGAUAGAACGUGUUCUUCUUCACCUAGUUAAAAACUUCACAUGGUGUCGGGAGAAACCAGAAGUCACGAGAAGUCUGCUUCCCCUGUGGAAGAACUGCUGCGUCCUACAUCUUUCGUUCCAUCAUGAGCACCGUUUCUAAUGUCCAGGCUGACUCUCAGCCGGAGCAGUGAUGCGGCGCAGUGAGCCUGGCCAGAUGGACCAAAAUAGCAGUG